Schistocerca cancellata (South American locust) is the source of this 108-nucleotide small nuclear RNA. The record is from RefSeq and is a predicted model, not a curated record. Lineage: Eukaryota; Metazoa; Arthropoda; Insecta; Orthoptera; Acrididae.
GUACUCGCUUCGGCGGCACAUAUACUAAAAUUGGAACGAUACAGAGAAGAUUAGCAUGGCACCUGCACAAGGAUGACACGCAAGAGUCCUAAGGAAAUGCAAUCCGAA